Molecule: ribosomal RNA, 831 nt
Filed under: Tylophoron stalactiticum
Lineage: Eukaryota; Fungi; Ascomycota; Arthoniomycetes; Arthoniales; Arthoniaceae
Description: LSU rRNA
Rfam family: Eukaryotic large subunit ribosomal RNA
Source: RNAcentral
GCCCCAGUAACGGCGAGCGAAGCGGCAACAGCCCAAAUUUGAAAUCUGGCCCCGUCGGGGUCCGAGUUGUAAUUUGGAGAGGAUGCUUCGGCGACGGCCCCGGGGCAAGUUCCCUGGAACCGGAUGCCACAGAGGGUGAGAGCCCCGUACCCGCCCGGGUGCCCGCCGCCAGACGAAGCGCCUUCGACGAGUCGAGUUGUUUGGGAAUGCAGCUCAAAGCGGGAGGUAAAUUUCUUCUAAGGCUAAAUACCGGCCAGAGACCGAUAGCGCACAAGUAGAGUGAUCGAAAGAUGAAAAGCACUUUGGAAAGAGAGUCAAAUAGCACGUGAAAUUGUUGAAAGGGAAGCUCUUGCUGCCAGACGUGCCGCGGGUGCUCAGCGUCCCCCCCCGGGGGACGUGUACUCGCCCGCGGCGGGCCAGCGUCAGUUCGGGCGGCCGGAUAAAGGCGCGGGGAACGUAGCCCCUCUCGGGGGGUGUUAUAGCCCCGGGCGUCAUGCGGCCCGCCGGAACUGAGGCCUGCGUUCGCUUGGACGCUGGCGUAAUGGUCGCAAGCGACCCGUCUUGAAACACGGACCAAGGAGUCUAACAUCUGUGCGAGUGUGUGGGUGGCAAGCCCAUGCGCGCAAUGAAAGUGAACGGAGGUGGGACCCCGCGCGGGCGCACCAUCGACCGAUCCUGAUGUUCUCGGAUGGAUUUGAGUAGGAGCAUAGCUGUUGGGACCCGAAAGAUGGUGAACUAUGCGUGUUUAGGGUGAAGCCAGAGGAAACUCUGGUGGAGGCUCGCAGCGGUUCUGACGUGCAAAUCGAUCGUCAAAAAUGCGUAUAGGGGCGA